RNAcentral lists this ribosomal RNA (424 nucleotides) under uncultured prokaryote. RNAcentral's name for it is "bacterial SSU rRNA". It matches the Rfam family "Bacterial small subunit ribosomal RNA", at positions 355 to 796 of the family's 1533-position model. The record is from RNAcentral.
UGGGGAAUCUUCGGCAAUGGGCGCAAGCCUGACCGAGCCAUGCCGCGUGAGUGAUGAAGGCCUUAGGGUCGUAAAGCUCUUUCGCCAGGGAUGAUAAUGACAGUACCUGGUAAAGAAACCCCGGCUAACUCCGUGCCAGCAGCCGCGGUAAUACGGAGGGGGUUAGCGUUGUUCGGAAUUACUGGGCGUAAAGCGCGCGUAGGCGGAUUAGUAAGUCAGAGGUGAAAUCCCAGGGCUCAACCCUGGAACUGCCUUUGAUACUGCUAGUCUAGAGUUCGAGAGAGGUGAGUGGAAUUCCGAGUGUAGAGGUGAAAUUCGUAGAUAUUCGGAGGAACACCAGUGGCGAAGGCGGCUCACUGGCUCGAUACUGACGCUGAGGUGCGAAAGUGUGGGGAGCAAACAGGAUUAGAUACCCGGGUAGUCC